GUUUUGUUUUUCUUUUCUGAUUUACCAGUUACCGAACGUCGUCUUCAUGUUGACAUGGCAAAAGACUAUACUAUGGAUUACCUUAUUCAUGAUUGUCAUUGUAAUUGUUUCGCAUAGCUAAAUGCUUCAUGAAGGGAAAAUGACCAUAAAAUGGGUUUGCUUGAUUUUCAUGGUAGUGCACUAAACCAUUUCUGUGAGUCACUCACUGAUAUCAAUACCAUAUGAUGAGUUGUCAUCAUGUAUGGCUAAUGAUUAGAAGUUAGACAUGAAUAGGUAUCGUCCUCACCUAAAUUUGGAUGUGCACAUGUCUGUUUCAGAAAGAAAGUUAAGGACAGUAGAAGAUGAGCACAUAAGCUCAGGCGUACCAGUGAUUUUAUAUCUACGUUGAUUGCAUCUGUUGGAAAAAUGGAAAAUUUAUUUAACAUUUGAUUUUAACUGAAUAGUCGUAUGUGUAAUAUUUUUCAAAUGCAAUCAUUGAUGUUGUAAAAUCUUUGAGAGUUGACUUGGCAUUGUUGUAAUCAUUGUAAAUUUUUUCAUUUUCUAACCAACGUUUUAACUCUUCGUAUACUCGCUUUUCCGAUUGCAUAAUAGUUAGCACAAAAACAAUUCUGU
Molecule: long non-coding RNA, 612 nt
Organism: Daphnia pulicaria
Lineage: Eukaryota; Metazoa; Arthropoda; Branchiopoda; Diplostraca; Daphniidae
Exons: 4
Source: RefSeq, a predicted model, not a curated record